This 224-nucleotide long non-coding RNA is filed under the name Elaeis guineensis (African oil palm). RNAcentral's name for it is "long non-coding RNA (EGUI_LNC019981)". Lineage: Eukaryota; Viridiplantae; Streptophyta; Magnoliopsida; Arecales; Arecaceae. The record is from RNAcentral.
GCUCUUAAUAAGCUUCCUUUUGCCUCUACAGAGGUGGUGGAGAUUUCAAUCAGAGGUGAGGAACCAAGUGAGGGUAAGGUCGAUAAGCCUAACACCAAGAUCCUCUUCAUUGGUGCCACCAUAGGGAUGGAGAAUGCUAGCUGUUGUCCCUGCCGUCACUCGCUAAUAUGCAACUAUCCAGUGCCCAUCUUGCCUAUCCCUUUCUCGACCCCAUCAACUUCCUC